Long non-coding RNA from Suricata suricatta (meerkat), 1147 nucleotides. RefSeq lists it as uncharacterized. The record is from RefSeq and is a predicted model, not a curated record. The transcript is spliced from 3 exons. Lineage: Eukaryota; Metazoa; Chordata; Mammalia; Carnivora; Herpestidae.
AAGAAAAAUAAAAACUUUAAAAAAUAAUUUUGGAGGAAAAGGCCUAUUUUUACAAAUCUUGGGCUGGAUCUACAACCUUUUUUUUUUAAGUAGGCCACGUGGAGCCCAGUGCAGGGCUUGAACUCACAACGCUGAGACGGAGACCGGAGCCGAGAUCAAUAGUCCGACGCUUAACCUCUGAGCCCCCCGGGCACCCUGGUUCUGCAGCCUCUCCGUGUUCUCCAAAAAUAACCUCUGGGAUUUGGGCUUAAGUUUGUCUCCAAAUUUAUUUUCAGUCAGCUGUGCCUGGGUAACCGUUUCGUUCACAUUUCCCCCCAAUAAGGGACACACAACACCGUGUCCCUUCAAGGUGUGCAGUGUGGGGACUGAAACCGGAAUAAACCGCACAAGGAUUACCGCCCCAGUGCCGGCCACCACGUCCGUCUGACCGCUCGCCACCGCGUCUCCUUUUUGUUGACAUACUGUGCUAGUUUUCAACGUACAACGCAGUGAUGCAGCGCCGUGUAUAAAUACGUUACGAAGUGCUCACCAAGGAAAGCGAAACUCAGAAACCGAGGAAUGGCCAACACUCCGGCCGGAUGGGAAAGGCUGGAUUGGUCAGCACGUGAGUGCCAGGCAUUCUCUGACCAUCAUGGAAUCCUGGAGUAGGCAUGGUGGUUACCCGUUUUGCAGCUGAGCACACUGAGGCCGCAGAGUUGAACUUGGCUGCAGGCUGAGCAGUCACGGUCAGAGGUAGGCCUCCGGUCUCCGGUACUCCGCGGUGCCCCGCCCUGCACCGGAGUGGUUAAGGUGCGCCUCUCCCCGCCCCCCUACGUGUGCUUUCUGGCGCGGGCGCACGGGCACUCACCCCAGAGCCCUGCACGGGCGGGGACGGCCGGCGUCCAGGCUGCCCGGGCUGCCAAGUCUGAGUCACUUGCCCGAGGUCCGACGGCGGGCCCUGGCAUUGAACGUCGAAUGUGAAAUGCGCAGGUGAGCUGCGCUUUUAGACGUGGUUCUCUUUGAGGUAAGCCUUCCCGAGGUGCGCCUGACCCUGUGGUCCUCAGGGUGGACGUGUCACCGCUGACGGGUCACAGGGUCCUGGCCAGACCCCCAAGCCCGGGGGCCCUCACGGGACCCAGGGGGACACGGGGCUGGGGUCUCCAGGGAC